Molecule: ribosomal RNA, 253 nt
Filed under: uncultured bacterium
Lineage: Bacteria
Description: partial 16S ribosomal RNA
Rfam family: Bacterial small subunit ribosomal RNA
Source: RNAcentral
UACGAAGGGUGCAAGCGUUACUCGGAAUUACUGGGCGUAAAGCGUGCGUAGGUGGUGAGUUAAGUCUGUCGUGAAAGCCCCGGGCUCAACCUGGGAAUGGCGAUGGAUACUGGCUCGCUAGAGUGCGGUAGAGGAGAGUGGAAUUCCCGGUGUAGCAGUGAAAUGCGUAGAGAUCAUGAGGAAGACCAGUGGCGAAGGCGGGUCUCUGGACAGUUCCUGACGCUGAGGCACGAAGGUCAGGGGAGCAAACGGG